UAACACGUAGGUAACCUGCCCAUGUGUCCGGGAUAACUGCUGGAAACGGUAGUUAAAACCGGAUAGGUAUACAGAGCGCAUGCUCAGUAUAUUAAAGCGCCCUUCAAGGCGUGAACAUGGAUGGACCUGCGGCGCAUUAGCUAGUUGGUGAGGUAACGGCCCACCAAGGCGAUGAUGCGUAGCCGGCCUGAGAGGGUAAACGGCCACAUUGGGACUGAGACACGGCUCAA
RNAcentral lists this ribosomal RNA (230 nucleotides) under uncultured bacterium. RNAcentral's name for it is "partial 16S ribosomal RNA". It matches the Rfam family "Bacterial small subunit ribosomal RNA", at positions 111 to 334 of the family's 1533-position model. The record is from RNAcentral.